GGCAGUAUGAUGUAGUGGUUUGAAUGUUGGACUAAGACUUUGGAGAUCAAGGUUUGAUUCCCUGCUCAGCCA
Phrynosoma platyrhinos (Desert horned lizard) is the source of this 72-nucleotide non-coding RNA. NCBI's taxonomy places the organism in Eukaryota, Metazoa, Chordata, Lepidosauria, Squamata, Phrynosomatidae. The record is from the annotation of a GenBank genome assembly.